RNAcentral lists this ribosomal RNA (800 nucleotides) under uncultured archaeon. Its description in RNAcentral is "bacterial SSU rRNA". It matches the Rfam family "Archaeal small subunit ribosomal RNA", at positions 89 to 861 of the family's 1478-position model. The record is from RNAcentral.
CUCAGUAACACGCGGACAAUCUGCCCUAAGGUGAGGGAUAAUCUCGGGAAACUGAGCAUAAUACCUCAUAGGUCAUGGAUGCUGGAAUGCUUCGUGGCCAAAAGCUCCGGCGCCUUAGGAUGAGUCUGCGGCCUAUCAGGUCGUAGUGGGUGUAACGGACCCACUAGCCAACGACGGGUACGGGCGUUGGGAGACGUCGCCCGGAGAUGGAUUCUGAGACACGAAUCCAGGCCCUACGGGGCGCAGCAGUCGCGAAAACUUGUCAAUGCGGGAAACCGCGAACAGGGGAGUCCAAGUGCUUGCACUUUGUGUAAGCUGUUCGGUUGUCUAAAAAACAGCCGAAGGAAGGGCUGGGUAAGACAGGUGCCAGCCGCCGCGGUAAUACCUGCAGCCCGAGUGGUGAUCGAUUUUAUUGAGCCUAAAGCGUCCGUAGCCGGUCUAGUAAACCCUUGGGUAAAUUGGGCAGCUUAACUGUCCGAAUUCCGAGGGGACUGCUAGACUUGGGACCGGGAGAGGUCAGAGGUACUCCAGGGGUAGGGGCUAAAUCCGAUAUGGUUUUGUGCCAUUCGGUUAGCAUUCCUGUAAUCCUUGGGGGACCACCAGUGGCGAAGGCGUCUGACUAGAACGGAUCCGACGGUAAGGGACGAAACCCUGGGGCGCGAACCGGAUUAGAUACCCGGGUAGUCCAGGGCGUAAACGCUGCAGGCUUGGUGUUGGGGACCCUACGAGGGUGCCCAGUGCCGGAGUGAAGAUGUUAAGCCUGCCGCUUGGGGAGUACGUCCGCAAGGAUGAAACUAAAG